AAGCUCUUGAUCGAAGCCCCGGUAAACGGCGGCCGUAACUAUAACGGUCCUAAGGUAGCGAAAUUCCUUGUCGGGUAAGUUCCGACCUGCACGAAUGGCGUAACGAUGGCGGCGCUGUCUCCACCCGAGACUCAGUGAAAUUGAAAUCGCUGUGAAGAUGCAGUGUAUCCGCGGCUAGACGGAAAGACCCCGUGAACCUUUACUGUAGCUUUGCACUGGACUUUGAGCCUGCUUGUGUAGGAUAGGUGGGAGGCUUUGAAGCGUGGACGCCAGUUCGCGUGGAGCCAUCCUUGAAAUACCACCCUGGCAUGCUUGAGGUUCUAACUCUGGUCCGUGAUCCGGAUCGAGGACAGUGUAUGGUGGGCAGUUUGACUGGGGCGGUCUCCUCCUAAAGAGUAACGGAGGAGUACGAAGGUGCGCUCAGACCGGUCGGAAAUCGGUCGCAGAGUAUAAAGGCAAAAGCGCGCUUGACUGCGAGACAGACACGUCGAGCAGGUACGAAAGUAGGUCUUAGUGAUCCGGUGGUUCUGUAUGGAAGGGCCAUCGCUCAACGGAUAAAAGGUACUCCGGGGAUAACAGGCUGAUACCGCCCAAGAGUUCAUAUCGACGGCGGUGUUUGGCACCUCGAUGUCGGCUCAUCACAUCCUGGGGCUGAAGCCGGUCCCAAGGGUAUGGCUGUUCGCCAUUUAAAGUGGUACGCGAGCUGGGUUUAGAACGUCGUGAGACAGUUCGGUCCCUAUCUGCCGUGGACGUUUGAGAUUUGAGAGGGGCUGCUCCUAGUACGAGAGGACCGGAGUGGACGAACCUCUGGUGUUCCGGUUGUCACGCCAGUGGCAUUGCCGGGUAGCUAUGUUCGGAAAAGAUAACCGCUGAAAGCAUCUAAGCGGGAAACUUGCCUCAAGAUGAGAUCUCACUGGGAACUUGAUUCCCCUGAAGGGCCGUCGAAGACUACGACGUUGAUAGGCUGGGUGUGUAAGCGUUGUGAGGCGUUGAGCUAACCAGUACUAAUUGCCCGUGAGGCUUGACCAU
This 1029-nucleotide ribosomal RNA is filed under the name Pseudomonas aeruginosa. Its description in RNAcentral is "bacterial LSU rRNA". It matches the Rfam family "Bacterial large subunit ribosomal RNA", at positions 1902 to 2925 of the family's 2925-position model. The record is from RNAcentral. Lineage: Bacteria; Pseudomonadati; Pseudomonadota; Gammaproteobacteria; Pseudomonadales; Pseudomonadaceae.